GCGGGUGUAGUACAACGGUAGUAUGCGACCUUCCCAAGGUCGAGACCGGGGAUCGUCCCCCCGUGCCCGCACCA
RNAcentral lists this transfer RNA (74 nucleotides) under Candidatus Nomurabacteria bacterium. RNAcentral's name for it is "tRNA-Gly". It matches the Rfam family "tRNA". Rfam says of the family: Transfer RNA (tRNA) molecules are approximately 80 nucleotides in length. Their secondary structure includes four short double-helical elements and three loops (D, anti-codon, and T loops). Lineage: Bacteria; Candidatus Nomuraibacteriota. The record is from RNAcentral.